AUCCGUCGAAUUUUAAAUUCGUGAGGGUUCAAGUCCCUCUAUCCCCA
This 47-nucleotide transfer RNA is filed under the name Pterygodium platypetalum. RNAcentral's name for it is "partial tRNA-Leu". The record is from RNAcentral. Lineage: Eukaryota; Viridiplantae; Streptophyta; Magnoliopsida; Asparagales; Orchidaceae.